Molecule: ribosomal RNA, 525 nt
Filed under: uncultured bacterium
Lineage: Bacteria
Description: partial 16S ribosomal RNA
Rfam family: Bacterial small subunit ribosomal RNA
Source: RNAcentral
AUUGAACGCUGGCGGCAGGCCUAACACAUGCCAGUCGAGCGGAUGAAGGGAGCUUGCUCCUGGAUUCAGCGGCGGACGGGUGAGUAAUGCCUAGGAAUCUGCCUGGUAGUGGGGGAUAACGUCCGGAAACGGGCGCUAAUACCGCAUACGUCCUGAGGGAGAAAGUGGGGGAUCUUCGGACCUCACGCUAUCAGAUGAGCCUAGGUCGGAUUAGCUAGUUGGUGGGGUAAAGGCCUACCAAGGCGACGAUCCGUAACUGGUCUGAGAGGAUGAUCAGUCAACGCGAGAAGGAGACAGGGGCAAGGUGCGGAGGGGUGGAAGAGUGAGGAAUUGAUGAAAGGGGGGGGAACGCCGGAGGCGGCCGGGCGGAGUGUUUGAGGAGGGUCUUGAGAUUGGAGAGCAGUGAAAGGGGGGAGGAAGGGCAGUAUUUUAAUCCUUUGUUGUUUGGACAUUAACAAAAGACGAAGCACCGGCUAACUUCGUGCCAUCUGCCGCGGUAAUAAUCGGAAGCGCACACGUCUGAAC